AUGAAGUUCAAGCAAUGCAAUCUGCCAGUAACUCCUCGAAUACUGGAUGGAGCAACCAUUCUUGCUAAACAAGGAGACCGGUUGAAGGUGUCCCUAACAUUUUCCUUUACAUUUAAAUGUACACACUUAUACUUUUUCCUUCAAUCAUCCAGUUUUGUAUAAAUGCAACUGUAGUAGUGGAUUAUAUUUUUCUUGAAUAACAAUUGCAUUCUAUGGCUGGAUUCUAAUCGAAUCCUGAUUGUUUUCUUUUUGAAUCUGGAUUUAGACUGGUGGACAUGGCGAUCAACUUCCCUAAGAUUGGAUUAGUUGUACARGGAUCUCAAAGAAAGCAUUGAAUCUAUAAAGCUCAAAUUUCCCCAUCCAUUCUUCAUCUCUUUUGGAUCUUUUUGAUAUAUUUUGUUGGUUCCUUUCGGGAAUAGAUGUCUUCWUCUYUGAGUUGGAGAGGUUGGAGCUUUCUAUGCACAAUGUAGAAGGUAACCAUAGACACAAUCUAGGAGAGUUGUGAACCACUGCAAGAUGGUUAAGAGUAAGCGUGUCCAUGAAAAGUGGAGUUGUCCUGACAUGGAAUUUUUACAAAAGUAUAUUUUUUAUGCUCAAGGCCGUAAAUCUCUUGAUUUGUCUUGAUUUAAUGUUAAGUGUGCAUAAAUGUAAAAGAUUAUCAAGAUAUUGGAUGUAGAUGUCUAAGUUAAUUAGGUGUUUAUAACCGGAGUCUUUUGUUGUAGAAAUCAUUAACUUAUGAUAUAAUUAUUUUGUAUUCAUGUAUUGUAAUUUGUAAACGUAUGCAACUUUUAUUUUGUCGAGAAUACUUUUCUAUAUGACC
Cynara cardunculus var. scolymus (artichoke) is the source of this 820-nucleotide long non-coding RNA. RefSeq lists it as uncharacterized. Lineage: Eukaryota; Viridiplantae; Streptophyta; Magnoliopsida; Asterales; Asteraceae. The record is from RefSeq and is a predicted model, not a curated record. The transcript has 2 exons.